GAUGAACGCUGGCGGCGUGCCUAAUACAUGCAAGUCGAGCGAACAGACGAGGAGCUUGCUCCUCUGACGUUAGCGGCGGACGGGUGAGUAACACGUGGAUAACCUACCUAUAAGACUGGGAUAACUUCGGGAAACCGGAGCUAAUACCGGAUAAUAUAUUGAACCGCAUGGUUCAAUAGUGAAAGACGGUUUUGCUGUCACUUAUAGAUGGCUCCGCGCCGCAUUAGCUAGUUGGUAAGGUAACGGCUUACCAAGGCAACGAUGCGUAGCCGACCUGAGAGGGUGAUCGGCCACACUGGAACUGAGACACGGUCCAGACUCCUACGGGAGGCAGCAGUAGGGAAUCUUCCGCAAUGGGCGAAAGCUUGACGGAGCAACGCCGCGUGAGUGAUGAAGGUCUUCGGAUCGUAAAACUCUGUUAUUAGGGAAGAACAAAUGUGUAAGUAACUAUGCACGUCUUGACGGUACCUAAUCAGAAAGCCACGGCUAACUACGUG
Molecule: ribosomal RNA, 497 nt
Filed under: uncultured bacterium
Lineage: Bacteria
Description: partial 16S ribosomal RNA
Rfam family: Bacterial small subunit ribosomal RNA
Source: RNAcentral